RNAcentral lists this ribosomal RNA (385 nucleotides) under Fasciola gigantica. RNAcentral's name for it is "eukaryotic LSU rRNA". Lineage: Eukaryota; Metazoa; Platyhelminthes; Trematoda; Plagiorchiida; Fasciolidae. The record is from RNAcentral.
GUCGUGGCUUGGGUUUUGCCAGCUGGCGCUGAUCUCCUCUAUGAGUAAUCAUGUGAGGUGCCAGAUCUAUGGCGUUUCCCUAAUGUAUCCGGAUGCACCCUUGUCUUGGCAGAAAGCCGUGGUGAGGUGCAGUGGCGGAAUCGUGGUUUAAUAAUCGGGUUGGUACUCAGUUGUCAGUGUGUUUGGCGAUCCCCUAGUCGGCACACUCAUGAUUUCUGGGAUAAUUCCAUACCAGGCACGUUCCGUUACUGUUACUUUGUCAUUGGUUUGAUGCUGAACUUGGUCAUGUGUCUGAUGCUAUUUCAUAUAACGACGGUACCCUUCGUGGUCUGUCUUCCUGACCUCGGUUCAGACGUGAUUACCCGCUGAACUUAAGCAUAUCACU